UACGAAGGGGGCUAGCGUUGCUCGGAAUCACUGGGCGUAAAGCGCACGUAGGCGGCUUGUUAAGUCGGGGGUGAAAUCCUGGAGCUCAACUCCAGAACUGCCUUCGAUACUGGCGAUCUCGAGUCCGGAAGAGGUGAGUGGAACUCCUAGUGUAGAGGUGGAAUUCGUAGAUAUUAGGAAGAACACCAGUGGCGAAGGCGGCUCACUGGUCCGGUACUGACGCUGAGGUGCGAAAGCGUGGGGAGCAAACAGGG
RNAcentral lists this ribosomal RNA (254 nucleotides) under uncultured bacterium. Its description in RNAcentral is "partial 16S ribosomal RNA". It matches the Rfam family "Bacterial small subunit ribosomal RNA", at positions 524 to 777 of the family's 1533-position model. The record is from RNAcentral.